This 253-nucleotide ribosomal RNA is filed under the name uncultured bacterium. RNAcentral's name for it is "partial 16S ribosomal RNA". It matches the Rfam family "Bacterial small subunit ribosomal RNA", at positions 524 to 776 of the family's 1533-position model. The record is from RNAcentral.
UACGUAGGGGGCUAGCGUUGUCCGGAAUCAUUGGGCGUAAAGAGCGUGUAGGCGGCUCGGUAAGUCCGCUGUGAAAGUCGGGGGCUCAACCCUCGAAUGCCGGUGGAUACUGUCGGGCUAGAGUGCGGAAGAGGCGAGUGGAAUUCCUGGUGUAGCGGUGAAAUGCGCAGAUAUCAGGAAGAACACCAAUGGCGAAAGCAGCUCUCUGGGACGGUACUGACGCUGAGACGCGAAAGCGUGGGGAGCGAACAGG